This 379-nucleotide ribosomal RNA is filed under the name uncultured eukaryote. RNAcentral describes it as "partial 18S ribosomal RNA". It matches the Rfam family "Eukaryotic small subunit ribosomal RNA", at positions 592 to 976 of the family's 1831-position model. The record is from RNAcentral.
CAAUAGCGUAUAUUAAAGUUGUUGCAGUUAAAAAGCUCGUAGUUGGAUUUGUGGCUGUCGCCUGCGGCCUGGCAUUCGUGCCGGUGUCUGCUAGCGUCGCCAUCCUUGGGUGGAACCUGUGUGGCAUUAGGUUGUCGUGCAGGGGAUGCCCAUCGUUUACUGUGAAAAAAUUAGAGUGUUCAAAGCAGGCUUACGCCGUUGAAUAUAUUAGCAUGGAAUAAUAAGAUAGGACCUUGGUACUAUUUUGUUGGUUUGCGCACCAAGGUAAUGAUUAAUAGGGACAGUUGGGGGUAUUCGUAUUCCAUUGUCAGAGGUGAAAUUCUUGGAUUUUUGGAAGACGAACUACUGCGAAAGCAUUUACCAAGGAUGUUUUCAUUAA